GAAAUGCGAUAAGUAGUGUGAAUUGCAGAAUUCAGUGAAUCAUCGAAUCUUUGAACGCACAUUGCGCCCUAUAGUAUUCUGUAGGGCAUGCAUGUUCGAGCGUCAUUUGUACCUUCAAGCUUUGCUUGGUGUUGGGUGUUUGUCCUCUCCCUGGUGUUUGGACUCGCCUUAAAACAAUUGGCAGCCAGUGUUUUGGUAUUGAAGCGCAGCACAAUUUGCGAUUCUGGCCUUAAAAUACUAGCGUCCAUAAGUACUUUCUCACUUUUGACCUCGGAUCAUGUAGGGAUACCCGCUGAACUUAA
This 302-nucleotide unclassified non-coding RNA is filed under the name fungal sp. RNAcentral describes it as "partial contains 5.8S ribosomal RNA, internal transcribed spacer 2, and large subunit ribosomal RNA". The stretch from base 1 to 105 matches the Rfam family "5.8S ribosomal RNA", at positions 50 to 154 of the family's 154-position model. Lineage: Eukaryota; Fungi. RNAcentral also lists the same sequence under 1 other name. The record is from RNAcentral.